RNAcentral lists this transfer RNA (71 nucleotides) under Paralemanea sp. RNAcentral's name for it is "tRNA-Gly". It matches the Rfam family "tRNA". From Rfam's summary of the family: Transfer RNA (tRNA) molecules are approximately 80 nucleotides in length. Their secondary structure includes four short double-helical elements and three loops (D, anti-codon, and T loops). The record is from RNAcentral. Lineage: Eukaryota; Rhodophyta; Florideophyceae; Batrachospermales; Lemaneaceae.
GCGAGUAUAGAUAAACGGUAUAUCAUUAAUUUUCCGAAUUGAAGUUGCGGGUUCGAAUCCCGCUUCUCGCU